CAAGUGGGCUCGCUGGGUGCGUUUUUCUCACCCAGGUAUUCAAAGAAUUAUAGGAAAAUCCUUCCCAAGGCUUUGGGUGAAGUGGUUUCCCAAAUCCUGGCAGGGAACAGCUCUGAAGUGAGGACUGUGCUUAAGCUCAGCAGAAGAAGCUCCUUCGGGGACCAGCUCCUGCCUUUUCCUCUCGGGCCCCUCCUGAGCAAGCGCCUUCCUUCCUCCUUGUGCCAUGAGAAACUUGGACAAGGCGCCGCUGAGACACGAGGGCAAUUGCCUCCUUCACAGUCACCCAGCCCAGGUGCCUCCCAGACCCCACCUUUCCCCUUAAAAGACAUUUAAUUGAUGGCUAAGAACAAGCAGAGAGAAAAUACCCACUGGGCAGCUCCGAAAGCGCUGCAGAUAAUCAUCAGGGUGCCCUACAUACUGCCUCUGCUUGGCUGCGAGAUCAGACGGCGAGAAGAAUUUGACAUUGUUUAAAAUGAACAGGAGAGGGAAGGAACAACUCCAUAAUUACUCACCCGGAGUUAAUUGACGGUAAUUACACUGAGUAGGCAGGGGAGGAAGCUGCGAUGGGCUAGCCCCGCAGAGUCAUCCGGGGAGCCGUGCCUGCUCCGCUGCCGCGCAGGUGCCCUCUGAACCCCGGCUCGCGGGCGAGGUGGCAGCCUGGCUCCGAGGGGGUUAACUUGAUGGGUUUGGUUUUCUUUUUUUCUUUUUUUUUUCUUCCUCUUCCCUCCUUGGUUAUUUGCAGCAAACAGAGCCCGGGUGGAAGGUCUGAGCUGAGCAAGUGUUUGCUCGGGGGGGGGACCGGGAGCUGGCUCGCGCUUCCCGAGCCGCGCGGGGAGCGGAGGACGGGGCUGCCCCGCGCCCGCUGGCCCCGAUGGCCGAUGACAUCGAGUGGCUGGACCUGCCGGGCAGGUGGACCUACGGCGUCUGCGGGGACGGGCGCAUCUUCUUCAUCAACGACGAGACCAAGUCCACGAGCUGGGUGCACCCCAGCACGGGUUACUCCGUCCAGAGCGGGCACUUCUCCUGCGCCGGUAAGGGACAGGCCCCGGCUCCCCGUGCGUGCCCCCUGCCCUCUCUCAGGGCAGCUGGAGGCGUGUGGUGAAACGCUCCAGAAAUGCCUUGGAGCCCCCCGCGCAGCUGGGCGAGCAGGGGUGGGUUUUGGGGGGAGACUUGGAAAGAGGUGCGAGGUGAUGCCGCAU
This 1199-nucleotide long non-coding RNA is filed under the name Anser brachyrhynchus (Pink-footed goose). Its description in RNAcentral is "lncRNA (ENSABRG00000012405.1)". Lineage: Eukaryota; Metazoa; Chordata; Aves; Anseriformes; Anatidae. The record is from RNAcentral.